GACGAACGCUGGCGGCGUGCUUAACACAUGCAAGUCGAACGGAAAGGCCCUGCUUUUGUGGGGUGCUCGAGCGGCGAACGGGUGAGUAACACGUGAGUAACCUGCCCUUGACUUUGGGAUAACUUCAGGAAACUGGGGCUAAUACCGGAUAGGAGCUCCUGCUGCAUGGUGGGGGUUGGAAAGUUUCGGCGGUUGGGGAUGGACUCGCGGCUUAUCAGCUUGUUGGUGGGGUAGUGGCUUACCAAGGCUUUGACGGGUAGCCGGCCUGAGAGGGUGACCGACCACAUUGGGACUGAGAUACGGCCCAGACUCCUACGGGAGGCAGCAGUGGGGAAUAUUGCACAAUGGGCGGAAGCCUGAUGCAGCAACGCCGCGUGCGGGAUGACGGCCUUCGGGUUGUAAACCGCUUUCGCCUGUGACGAAGCGUGAGUGACGGUAAUGGGUAAAGAAGCACCGGCUAACUACGUG
Molecule: ribosomal RNA, 468 nt
Filed under: uncultured bacterium
Lineage: Bacteria
Description: partial 16S ribosomal RNA
Rfam family: Bacterial small subunit ribosomal RNA
Source: RNAcentral